AUUGAACGCUGGUGGCAGGCCUAACACAUGCACGUCGAACGAGUGGCGGACGGGUGAGUAAUGUCUGGGAAACUGCCUGAUGGAGGGGGAUAACUACUGGAAAAGGUAGCUAAUACCGCAUACCAUCAGAUGUGCCCAGAUGGGAUUCGCUUGUUGGUGGGGUAACGGCUCACAAAGGCGACGAUCCCUCGCUGGUCUGAGAGGAGGACCAGCCACACUGGAACUGAGAAACGGUCAAGACUCCUACGGAAGGCAGAAGUGGGGAAUAUUGCACAAGGGGCGCAAGCCGGAUGCAGCCAUGCCGCGUGUAUGAAGAAGGCCUUCGGGUUGUAAAGUACUUUCAGCGGGGAGGCGUUACCCGCAGAAGAAGCACCGGCUAACUCCGUGCCAGCCGCCGCGGUAAUAC
Molecule: ribosomal RNA, 406 nt
Filed under: uncultured bacterium
Lineage: Bacteria
Description: partial 16S ribosomal RNA
Rfam family: Bacterial small subunit ribosomal RNA
Source: RNAcentral